UACGGAGGGUGCAAGCGUUGUCCGGAUUUAUUGGGUUUAAAGGGUGCGUAGGCGGAUGAUUAAGUCAGUGGUGAAAGCCCACAGCUCAACUGUGGAACUGCCAUUGAUACUGGUUAUCUUGAGUAUAGAUGAGGCAGGCGGAAUUUACGAUGUAGCGGUGAAAUGCAUAGAUAUCGUAAAGAACACCUAUAGCGAAGGCAGCUUGCUAAACUAUAACUGACGCUGAGGCACGAAAGCAUGGGGAGCGAACAGGAUUAGAAACCCCCGUAGUCC
Molecule: ribosomal RNA, 273 nt
Filed under: uncultured bacterium
Lineage: Bacteria
Description: partial 16S ribosomal RNA
Rfam family: Bacterial small subunit ribosomal RNA
Source: RNAcentral